RNAcentral lists this long non-coding RNA (557 nucleotides) under Cyanistes caeruleus (blue tit). RNAcentral's name for it is "lncRNA (ENSCCEG00000023767.1)". The record is from RNAcentral. Lineage: Eukaryota; Metazoa; Chordata; Aves; Passeriformes; Paridae.
AGGCUCCCACCUGGCAGCUGGGAUAGAAAAGUGAGAGGCAGUGGGUCAGGUGGUGACAGCUUCUUCCAGGGCAGGUGGGCUGUGGCUUGAGCACUCACUGAAGACAACCACUUAAGCUCUCUGUGAAACAGCAGCAUCUCAGCUGUGACUUCUGCAAAGAGCUGUGUUGAGGAGUGGAGUGUGGUGACAGCCAGGCUACUCCAGCACCGUACAUGCAGCAUUGGAGCUGGGAUGGCAGCUCUUUCUGUAAAAUAACUCCUUGUUGUGGCAUCAGAGACCUGAAAAAUCUGACUCCAGAUUCAGGAGUUCCAGAAGCUGAAUCCCUCAAAUCCUGAUGAUCUACUUCAUCGUGUCUUGGAAGCCAGGCCACGUUUCUUUGCUAGAGACUUAAUUUGUCUCGCAGCACUGUCUUCGCCAUAUACCGAAAGUCUGUUUUGAGAAAAAAAAUGUGGCAAUAUAAUAUGAACACACAGAGGCUCCUAAAGCUGUCCUUCCUUAAGGUCUCCUAAAAAUUGUACAUGUUUAGCAAAGGGAGGGAGGGGGAGUUUCAUGAGCUG